CCGGCGACCGGCGCACGGGUGAGCAACACGUAUGCAACCUGCCCUCCGCAAGGGGAUAACCCGGAGAAAUCCGGACUAAUACCGCGUGGUACACCAGUGGGGCAUCCCACGGGUGUUAAAAGGAAGCGAUUCCGGCGGAGGAUGGGCAUGCGGCGCAUUAGCUUGUUGGCGGGGUAACGGCCCACCAAGGCGACGAUGCGUAGGGGUUCUGAGAGGAAGGUCCCCCACACUGGUACUGAGACACGGACCAGACUCCUACGGAAGGCAGCAG
Molecule: ribosomal RNA, 271 nt
Filed under: uncultured bacterium
Lineage: Bacteria
Description: partial 16S ribosomal RNA
Rfam family: Bacterial small subunit ribosomal RNA
Source: RNAcentral